Molecule: transfer RNA, 72 nt
Filed under: Methanobacteriota archaeon
Lineage: Archaea; Methanobacteriati; Methanobacteriota
Description: Euryarchaeota archaeon tRNA-Gly
Rfam family: tRNA (bases 5-68)
About the family: Transfer RNA (tRNA) molecules are approximately 80 nucleotides in length. Their secondary structure includes four short double-helical elements and three loops (D, anti-codon, and T loops). Further hydrogen bonds mediate the characteristic L-shaped molecular structure. tRNAs have two regions of fundamental functional importance: the anti-codon, which is responsible for specific mRNA codon recognition, and the 3' end, to which the tRNAs corresponding amino acid is attached (by aminoacyl-tRNA synthetases). tRNAs cope with the degeneracy of the genetic code in two manners: having more than one tRNA (with a specific anti-codon) for a particular amino acid; and 'wobble' base-pairing, i.e. permitting non-standard base-pairing at the 3rd anti-codon position.
Source: RNAcentral
CCUAGGAGGUCCACUUGGUUAGGACUACAGCCUUCCAAGCUGUUGACCCGGGUUCAAAUCCCGGUCCCUGCA